AGAGAACGAGUUCGAGCUGGACCUGGACGAGCAGACGCGCCUGACAGAGGCCAGCCAGGCCAGGGUGGAGGAGGCCCGAUCUUCGAUAAUAGACCAGAAUGCUCGCAACAUGUACGUCAGGGACCAGAUCAAGAAGCAGUGCUGGGACGCCAUGGACGUCAAGGGCAAAUCCGUGCAGGGCCUGAUGCUGAACCUGGAUGUGUCAAACUACCCGCUGCUGGCGCGCUCGGACCAGCUGCGCGCCGUACUGGACGCG
Pollicipes pollicipes is the source of this 256-nucleotide long non-coding RNA. RefSeq lists it as uncharacterized. The record is from RefSeq and is a predicted model, not a curated record. The transcript is spliced from 3 exons. Lineage: Eukaryota; Metazoa; Arthropoda; Thecostraca; Pollicipedomorpha; Pollicipedidae.